ACAAAUUGGCAAGUGUACCAAAUCGUACAAGUAAUAUAAAUGGUAAGACCAAGUAUCGUUUUCCCAAGAGACUCGAAUGACUUCCUCGUUCGCAUGAAUUAAAAAAAUAAGACUUGAAAAAUAAAAUUAAUAAAUUGGAUUUAAGAACAAAAAUAUUAACAUGCAAAAAUAAAGUUGAUUCAAUUGACAAACGAAAACAAUGGAUGAAUGGAUGUUGUUGGGUACUAACAAUUUCAUCUAUUCCACUCUCUCUUACAUACUACCCUUGAUUAUUAGUUGAUUGAUUCAAUUGUUAUGCGACUUUCUUAGCCUCCCCUUAACCCGAUCCCUCGGCGAAAAGGGCCU
RNAcentral lists this long non-coding RNA (345 nucleotides) under Vigna radiata. RNAcentral's name for it is "long non-coding RNA (VRAD_LNC001972)". Lineage: Eukaryota; Viridiplantae; Streptophyta; Magnoliopsida; Fabales; Fabaceae. The record is from RNAcentral.